This 74-nucleotide transfer RNA is filed under the name Candidatus Uzinura diaspidicola str. ASNER. RNAcentral describes it as "tRNA-Trp (CCA) (tRNA-Trp-CCA-1-1)". It matches the Rfam family "tRNA". From Rfam's summary of the family: Transfer RNA (tRNA) molecules are approximately 80 nucleotides in length. Their secondary structure includes four short double-helical elements and three loops (D, anti-codon, and T loops). Lineage: Bacteria; Pseudomonadati; Bacteroidota; Flavobacteriia; Flavobacteriales. The record is from Rfam by way of RNAcentral.
ACGGGCGUAGCUCAAUUGGUUAGAGCAGUUGUCUCCAAAACAAAAGGUCGCUGGUUCGAAUCCAGCCGUCCGUG